Molecule: long non-coding RNA, 5305 nt
Organism: Helianthus annuus (common sunflower)
Lineage: Eukaryota; Viridiplantae; Streptophyta; Magnoliopsida; Asterales; Asteraceae
Exons: 3
Source: RefSeq, a predicted model, not a curated record
UCUGAAGUUGCAAAUGCAGGCGUUUUUCAGUUGAACGUAUAAAAAGAUGCUGAAAAGGUCAACUACUAGUCCACAUUACACCAACAGGUUUUCGACAUCCGGCAUGUGAAACCGGGGCGAAGUUAGAGCGUCUCCGGAAGUCUUUCACACCAUUCGCCUCCUUCCUCUUCGUUUUGAUGUAUAAAGAGUUCACAGUAGCAGUGAUGGUGUACGAUGGUAGAUCGUGGUUCACGAACGCGGUUCAAAUCGGCACCGGCAAACAGAUCGUGAAGAUCCAGCAACGAUGGUGGUGUAGCAACAACAUUAGGUCCCGUACCAAAUCUUAACACCACCGUUGCCGCUCGUCAUAGCAACUUGAAUCUUGCUCGAGACUCCCUUCGUCGGGCAGCAGUCGAAGAAGGGAUAGUGCGCAACUCUUUUUAUUAAGAUCUGAGACUAUUAGCAUAUAUAACUUUUGUAUUCUUGGAAUAUAUUUGUAUUUAUUGUAAUAGCCAUAUUAAUGGAACAAAUCUUUGAAAUUGAUUGGUUUGCCAAAGUUGUAGGCAAUCAAUCCUCCUAUCUGUAUAUAUUCGAUAGUGGAAUACAGAAAGCAACAAGCAAAAAUUAUCUCAUCUAUCAUGGUAUCAAGCCAUAAAGCUCCACUGAGCAUUUUUUUCCGAUCCCUCUGAAGCUUUCUUUUUUUUUUCUUUUCUCAUCCAACAUUAUCAUUACCUUGCAAUCCGUUGCUUCACUUCUUCGUGACCUUCCCCUGUUCAUUUUUUUUUCACCAACAACCUUCUUAUUACCCCAUGGAUCCUAAAACACAUCCCGCAAUCACCGUUACCAACAUCAAAAACUUCAUUCCGAUCACUCUCGAAAUCGAAUCCAGCCAAUAUGCUUCGUGGGCGGAAUUAUUCAAAAUCCAUUGCCGCGCCUUUCAAGUGCUAAACCACCUUUCCCUGAAACCCGAGUGCACGUCCACACCUCAACCCGCUGCUACAGAAGGCGCCAAACCCGACGCCUCAUCCGACCCUGAUGAAACUUGGAGUCGCCUUGAUGCCAUAGUCCUUCAAUGGAUCUAUGGCACCAUAUCAAAUGACUUACUAAGCACCAUUAUCCGUCCUGAUUCCACAGCCUGUUACGCUUGGGCGGCACUCAAAAGCCUCUUUCAUGACAAUGAAGCCACUCGUGUCGUUUUACUGCAGAAAAAGUUUACAAACCUUAAACUCGACUCCUUUCAAUCCAUGGCUGCCUAUUGUCAAGAAACAAAGGUUAUAUCCGAUCAAUUAGCAAACGUUGGUGCCCCUGUAACCGAAAAAAACCUGGUCAUCCAACUCCUUUCAGGUCUGAAUGAAGCUUACGGUGGGACUGCCUCCAUUCUCCAGAAUACCAAACCCUUUCCCACCUUCUAUGAAGCCCGAUCUGCGUUAACUCUUGAAGAAACCACCAAAGCCAACCAUGCCUCUUCCGAAUCGGCCCUUCAUACCACAACAACACCUCCAACCGGAUCUGCUCCACCCUAAACCCCACCCUCUUACAGUAACAACAACCGCGGCGGUGGCCGUUAUCGGGGCCGAGGAAAAACCCGAGGCCGCGGGCGUGGCCAAACGAGUUUCACCAAUCCCAACCAAGGAUGGUCUCCUUCACACUUUGGUAGCACUCCUUUUCCAUCUGGUUAUGGGGUAGGUCAGUGGACUACAAGACCACAAGCAUGGGCUCCUACUCAAUAUUGGGCCAUACCACCUUGUCCUUAUCCUACAGGCCCAUCUACCCAAAGUCCAAAACCUAACCAACGGCCUGGUAUACUCGGCCCACGACCCCAGCAGGCCCACGCAAAUUCUGACCAACUUUACACUGCUACUGCAUUGGACCAGGCGUUCAACACAAUGAGUCUGCACCCGCCAGAUAAUCAAUGGUACAUGGACACCGUGGCUACAGGUAAUAUGACUCGCAACUCGUACAAUCUUAAUUCUUAUUUAAAUAAGGUUUUUGCACGAAAUAUUAUCGUCGGAAAUGGCAAUAAAAUUCCAGUCCAUGCCAUAGGUAACCAUACCUUACCAUUCCCAUACCCACCAUUUAAAAUUAAUAAUACCCUUUUUGCACCUCAACUUGUCAAAAAUCUUAUUUCUGUUCGUCCAUUCCCAAACGACCGACGUGGCUCCAUACCCUGAAAAAUUGUAUGGAGCGUUGUCUUUUUGUUUUUUUUUUUUGUUUUUUUGUUUUCAGAGGGAUUUCCCGGUUGGAGUGGUGAGAUUUCAUCUCCCCCUCCCCCGAACCCCCUCCCCCUCUUUUAAGGGCGAGUCCUUACUCAAUUCGUAAACGAAUUGCGGACUCAAGGCUAGGCUUUCUCUAUGACUUUUCCUCUUUAGCCGGCUUUCAGGCAUGAGGGCUUGAUUACCUCUUUUUGGGAUACAAGCAAGCCCUCUGUUUCAGCCGGCUUUAAUACAAAGUCACUAGAGGUUAGCCGCCCGGAGAAUGAAGAUCACCCGAACUUCAUUCCCCUGGCUACAACCGGCAGGGAGAGAGAGAUGAAAUCUCUAAACCUUUACCUGCUGUUGUUAGCCGCCUGGCGAAGAAGCCUUUCGGGGCUUCCCUCGCCUGGCUACACCUUCCCUUCUUCCCCUGAAGGCAUAAAAACAAAAUAACAAAAAAAAAAAGACAACGCUCUAUACCUUCAGGGGAGGUGAACAGAGUGAGUGCAGGCCCUCGCUCAACGAGAGCAUGGUUUUGUGGUCCGGGUUCGGUAUUUCGUUAUGAUGUAACUCCUUUCUUAUUGAUGAUUUACGGCCUUUUAAAGCAGUUGUUCACUGGUCUCAAAUGGUACCCUAUAUUGAUCUUGAAAGAAACCAUUCUGUCUUAAGUCAAGAUGGUCAUAGAAUUCUUUUGUUCCCUCAACAAGCAACUAAUCACAAGGAAAGAAAACACAAAAGACUCUUAACGGAUUUCUUUCCAAUUAAGAAGUGACGGUGGUCUUUCAAGAUUAACUAAAGUCCAUCACACCACCCUUUUAGCCGCCAUCCACCAUCGCCCUCACCCAUCGGCAUUAACAUAACCACCGUCCACCACCACCUUCGCCGCCUCUUCCCGGCUUUCUCUCUCUUCCAAUCAGACGACAACGGAUUGUGCGUCGUUUUCAAAACCGGCGAUUUUAAAUGUAGGGCGACAAGGACCUAGGGCAAGGAGAAUUCUGUAAUUUACUGUUUGAAAACGGGGUAAUAUUGUACAUUCACGUGCACUGUUUCACUGACAUUCUUCUUUAAGAAUAUAUAAAUGCUUAAUAUUUAAUGUUUAGUAUGUAAUAUUUUAAUAUUUUAAUGUUUUAAUUUUUCAUGUUUAUUUUUUAAUGUUCAACUUAAAUAAAAUAACAUUAACAUUAAACAUACUUGACAUUACACAAAAAUACUAAUACUAAAAUACUACAACUAAAACUAAAUCACUAAUACUAACUACAAUUGAUCAUCUAUUAUAAGCUUCCAAAUUUCAAGCUUCGUAAACGGUCUUUCAUUAACUCGUUCAUGCUCGGCCAUUGAUUCUUCAAUGACUUGCUUAUCGUCAUUUGCGUCUUCCAACCCUUCCAUUCGUCAGCGGUAAAUUUCAUGAAAUCUUCCUAUUGGUUGGGUCAUGCGUAUUAUCUUUGCUUUAAGACCAUUACUUGUAAGUUGUACGUUUGGUUUGAUAACCCAUUUCGGCAUUUCCUCGUCAAACCUCUCCUUAACCUGAGACCAAAAACCCCUCCUAAAUAUAAUACUUGGACCCACCGUUCGUAACUCUUCGGUCCUAUUGUGUACAAAAUCUAGACCCAACGCGUACGCCUCAUCGUCACUCCAAGCUUGUGACAUUUUCGUAAAUUGUUUGUUUUGCGGUUUUUUGGGUUCGUUUAUGUGUUUCCGAGUUGGGUAAGCAACCAAUACAUCCCAAGACUAUUGGUAAUAAUUUUUUUAUAACAAGAACUGGUUCCAACAGUCAAAAUAGUAAUAAAAAACGGUCAAAACACUAUUUUAACGUUAGGAACCGAUUUUAAAAUUUUUUACCGUUGAAACCGGUUCUUGCCCGGGUAAAUCCAGGUUGAGUUGGAACAAGUUACCGAUCUUGAAAAAAAUGUGGAACCAGGUAGGACCAAUAGAUUGGACCAGUUCCUCCAUUUAGCGGGUAGGAACCGGUUCUGGGUUGGAUAUGGAACCAACUUUUUUGUGCACAUCUACAAAAAACCAAUUUUGAAAACGACUCGGUCCCUGUUACAAACCAGUCCCCUUAAAAAUUGGUCUGGGAUUUUUCAAACCGGUUGGUUACGCAAACUAGCUUUGACCGUUAAAAUGUGCUAGUCAUUGAAAAUAUUUAUUAAAUCUUUUUUUUCUAACUAAUCACCCCCCCCCCCCCUCUAAAGUUAGUAUAAAUAGAUUUUUUUUAUGUUUUAGAUUGAUCAUAACACUCAAAAACGCAAAAAUAAACUCGAAAAAAGCAAAAACCCGCUCUUGUACACACUCGAUUUUGAAUAUCUUUGCUUAUUUGAUUAUGGCUUCACAUAGUGCUCAAUCAAAAGCAUUAGUUGGUGUCGCUUCCUCAAACGAGCCAAACCGUUACGAGUGUUUUAGAAACGACUCCAAACCCGUAAUUUUUCGGGCAAGUACGUGGGUGGUUCAACAUAUGUCUAAUGUCGAAUGUCUCUUAAAAGGCUCGUUGUAUAAUGUGUGGAAGUUUUCUUCAACCAAACUCAAGCUCAACUUUGAUAAAUCAUAUGACGAAAUAUUACCGAGCGAACUGUGACAACAUUAAAAGUAGUAAAACAUCAAUCGACCAUCAAUGUGGCACUUUUAUGAUUUUAACAAGGUUUAAGAUCAAAUGGCAAAGUUCGUAAUUCAAGAAGGUUUGCCAUUCGACCCCUUCAACAACCCUCGCUUGACAAAGAUGAUUUGAGCCACGUUCCAACCUUGUUACAAACACAAUCAUACCUUUGUGUCACCACUCAAUGGUAGACCCUAAUACGUGGCAAUGAUGAAACGUGCAAUUGUGCAUAUUUUAAACGAUCACCUGGACGCAAUGGAUCGUGUACAACACCAAACAACUCUCAAAGAAUCAACGGAAGUUGAAGAACAUAUACAGGAAGAAGAGGUGCAAGAGAGACUAGGCGAUCCCCUAUCUAACAAAGAACUCUCCUACAAUGCAUCGAUUCUCAUGAAAAAUAGUUCGGACGAAGAAUAACACGAAAAAUAAAUUUAUGUUUUUUGAUUUAAUAAUUGUAAUUCUUAUAAGUCUAUUUUUUGGUAUUUCAUUAUUGUAUUUUCUUGUUUCGAGAAUUAUAAAUGUUAAUAAAGUUGAAUUUUAUGUA